RNAcentral lists this long non-coding RNA (656 nucleotides) under Anser brachyrhynchus (Pink-footed goose). Its description in RNAcentral is "lncRNA (ENSABRG00000000019.1)". Lineage: Eukaryota; Metazoa; Chordata; Aves; Anseriformes; Anatidae. The record is from RNAcentral.
AGAGAAAACAGAGGUGACUGGGGAUUCAUAAGCCCACUUCACCUAUUUACCAGCUAACACAACUGGCUGGGCGUCCCCAGCAUGUUAAUUAAAGCUAAUUCUGACAAAGGACUUCAGAGUCUCUUCACAGUGGCAAGUUGGCAACACAUUUCAAGGGAUUCAAAUAAACAUGAAGAUUGAAUAUUGAUUUCUUUGUUCAAAAAGGAACUCACAAAAUUAAAAGAAAGAAAGAAAGAAAGAAAGAGAGAGAGAGAGAAAGAGAGAAAGAGAGAGAUGAAGAAGAGGAUGUAAACAUUGCUACCUUGCUCUUCUCUGUCCCUAUUUGGACUUUGGCUUUGCAGUAUUUUCAGUUUGGUGUCAAGAAACACAAAGAGAAGACCAGAGAAUGGAGAAUACCAGGGAACUACCAGAUUCUAACCUGAAAUUUCUACUUCAUUUGUGGAAGCACCCUGAGAACAGAGAAGAUGGAGGUAUGGGGAAAGUAAAACACUGCUUUGUGUUAUAUGCUGGCAGAUUUCUGUAUCAGUUCCUCAUAAAUACAUCUGAGGAGUAUAAAUGAAAAUUGCCAGACAGAGUGAAGGUAAAAAGCAAGAACUGUCUUUGUAAUCUACGUUUUAUCUGCAAAAAGAGAAUUAAAUUUUUAGCCAGGACCUAAA